UUGCACCUGAAAUGUAAAAAGAUCAUCAGCAACAUAUUAAUUUUGUGGGCAUUUCAAUUCAUGCACAUGCCAGUUGAGAGGCAAUGACAAUGCUACAGGUUAGUACCGAGUAAGAAGUCUGAGAGAAACACAUAAAUAGGCAAUGUUAGUACCGAGUAAGAAGUCUGAGAGAAACACAUAAAUAGGCAAUGUUAGUACCGAGUAAGAAGUCUGAGAGAAACACAUAAAUAGGCAAGCCGAGCGAGUAUUACAUUAAUGCUAACCAAUUUAGUAUGGAAAAAAUCAAAAGAAGUUAGCCGCGGGAAGGGAGAGAAUCAUCAUUUGCAUUGAUUUAACAUGUGCAAGUAGAUAGUUUGUUCUAUGCAUCAUUAACUAAAGAGAUCUUCUUACAACCAAUUAUUGUUUGCUUUUUUAUGUUGGCAUGUCCAGCAUGACUACAAUGGUAUGCAGUUGCAACCAUUACCUCAAAACAGUAAGACAUUGGUAAAAGUUGAAAGAUGCACUUUGCAUGAAUUAAAGGGGUCUUCCUGCUACUAACAGGUUUGAUAAAUUUUGUUUUUGUAGGUAAUAUUCGAAUGCAUCCGGAUGGUCCUUCAUUGGACUCUGAUCCUUUUGUUAAUUCUUCGGUUGGGAGGUUCAUUAACCCUUUAUUGGCGUCGUUUUCUGGCACGAGUUCUUCUAAUCCUGUCACCCUGUGGGGAGAAUAGGCCGAGAAGUUUGAUGCAGAAGAUAUCCGACAGGCUUCUCUAGAGGAAAACGUGUUUGUGUUGUUCGUAGGUAUGAAUGUUACUUUAUUUUUAGGUACGCGAGUUCCACGAACCCCCUAAGGCAGCAUCAGUUAUCUAAUGCCUUCACUCCCGUUUAAGGCCAUCGUUUACAGCAUUAACAAGUUCACCAUGUGCUUACAUAUGGAUUUUGGGUUUGCUGGCACGUUAACAUACCCAUUCCUGAGAUAGAUGCUCUCUGCGAAAGCUAACCUGCGCUACGCCUUAUAUUCUGUAUAUUCUUUAAACAAUAAUCAAGCAUGAUUUCCAUACAACACUUUCUGUAGCCUUGGAGAUAAGUGCUACAUAGUAGACUGGGAGAACUUCGACAAUGCAAGAAUUGAAGCAGCUGAGGUCAGCCUUUAUGACCUAUGCAAAGAAGAGAGGGAUAUUAUGGGUGCUCACCAUUGUGGACGAUCCAAACGACUGGUGGUUCUAUGCUUGCAAGCGGUGCUGGAGAAAAAUGGUUCAAGCUGGAGUUUCCCGUAGGCCGUAGGUGCCCCAGUUGUCUCACCACGGGCUAACACCGCAGGUACAGGCUGAAGGUAAGCGCAACAGACGUGGAGCCAAAUGCUGAGAGCAUUCCCGUCACUGGCCAUUCCACGUUCUUCGGCGAGAGGCCGAGAGCAGCACUGCUCUCAUGGGCAGAGAUGCAGAUCUUCUUGCUGCACUUACUCGAGGCUGUCCUAAUUUUGUUCCUGCUGCCAUUUUGACGACAAUUGGCAAGAAGUGCACUAUCAUCGCUCAAGUAGACAAGGAGACCUACAAUGCUGAUCCUGGAGUGGUGUUUUUACCAUCCCAGAGGCCCAACUGAUACAUGACUCAGUGCCAGCACUGCCAUCUUCUAGCCACUCCAGCCUUACAAUAACUUAUAAGCUGGCUGUGCCGGCCGAUGAGCUCAGCACACUAAACCAGCUCCCAAAAAACAGCAGCCCACAAACAACACACGGAAGAGGACAUGGGUGAGGCAACCAAAGACAAGAACAGAAAGAGUACCAACAACAAGAAAGGCCCGGCCAAGACGCUCUUGAAGGGAAAGCACAAACAUCAGCCUUGCCAGGUUGUUGUGUAGCUCCUCACAUUUCAUCAUACCGAAGCACUGAUUCUACAUCCUAUUUGCAUUGCAGACAUACAUUGCAGGACGAGGCCAGAAUAAGCUCACUACUAGGGAAAAUCAAGCAAAUAAAUCAACCACUGGGAGAUGAGGCUUCUCAUCAGCUUGCCAGCUUAUGCUAUUAAGCCUAUCUUAUGUAACAGUAUCCAAGAUGAAUAUCUUAGCAGUUUUCUGAGAUUGCAUACCUAGAACUGUGUGUCUGAGUGGCUGGUGCCUACAGCUCUGUGCAUGACUAUCUAUGUAUAAUUAUCCGGUAUCUAGAA
Long non-coding RNA from Lolium perenne, 2141 nucleotides. RefSeq lists it as uncharacterized. NCBI's taxonomy places the organism in Eukaryota, Viridiplantae, Streptophyta, Magnoliopsida, Poales, Poaceae. The record is from RefSeq and is a predicted model, not a curated record.